Molecule: ribosomal RNA, 167 nt
Filed under: Stigmatorhynchus umbellifer
Lineage: Eukaryota; Viridiplantae; Streptophyta; Magnoliopsida; Gentianales; Apocynaceae
Description: 5.8S ribosomal RNA
Rfam family: 5.8S ribosomal RNA
About the family: 5.8S ribosomal RNA (5.8S rRNA) is a component of the large subunit of the eukaryotic ribosome. It is transcribed by RNA polymerase I as part of the 45S precursor that also contains 18S and 28S rRNA.
Source: RNAcentral
CACACGACUCUCGGCAACGGAUAUCUAGGCUCUCGCAUCGAUGAAGAACGUAGCAAACUGCGAUACUUGGUGUGAAUUGCAGAAUCCCGUGAACCAUCGAGUCUUUGAACGCAAGUUGCGCCCGAAGCCGUUAGGCCGAGGGCACGUCUGCCUGGGCGUCACGCAUC